This is a long non-coding RNA of Micropterus dolomieu (smallmouth bass), 609 nucleotides long. RefSeq lists it as uncharacterized. The transcript is spliced from 4 exons. The record is from RefSeq and is a predicted model, not a curated record. Lineage: Eukaryota; Metazoa; Chordata; Actinopteri; Centrarchiformes; Centrarchidae.
UGAUAGGAGUACAUAGAGCCAUAGAAAGGUGUGGUACCUGGAAAAGCACUGCAUUAUGGUCAGAGACCACAAAAUCUACUAAAGACAAAUCAUCUCACAGAAGCCAUGGGAUGGCUGCAUUCGCCCGUUGCCUCGGCCUCAGGCUGGACUCUGAUUCAAGGUUGACGGCUCAUCAAGUCGAGUGACAAGCAUUGGGGGCGGGAACUCGAACAAAUGAGAGGGAGGAAGAAAGUGGAUGGAUGGAUGGAGGUGGAAGCGGCAAUGGUGGCAGCAGCGGCAGCAGGGAGAAAACAGCCUGAAGCGUGAAUUCUCCAGCAGCGGGCGUGCAGAGGAAAACGGAAGCUGGGGAGACAGUGUGUCCGCUUUUGCUGGGGGAGAGAGACUGUACAAACAUGGUUCAAGCACACACACACACACACACACACACACACACACACACAAGCUAAGGCCCUUACCUCCAGAGGUUGUGCAUCAGGGGGGGAUAUGGGACCAGGAGGGGUGUCAGAGGAGGACCAAAGUUUGGUGUGUGUGUGUGUAUGCGUGUGUGUGCGUGUGUUGCCAGGGGACUGUGGCUCUCCUGAAAGAGGAAAAGACAUACAGACAAACAGA